GAGGUCCAGCCUGCCCAGUGAUAUUCAACGGCCGCGGUAUUCUAACCGUGCAAAGGUAGCGUAAUCACUUGUUUUCUAAAUAAAGACCAGUAUGAAAGGCAUCACGAAGACUAAACUGUCUCCUUUCUCUAAUCAGUGAACCUAAUCUCCCCGUGAAGAAGCGGGGAUACUAUUAUAAGACGAGAAGACCCUAUGGAGCUUUAAACAAUUAUAUGUUUUUGGUUGGGGUGACCGCGGAGAAAAACUUAUCCUCCACGAUGAAAAAUAAGUCACAACUUUACGUAUCAAAAAAUUGACAUUCAUUGACCCAACAAUUGAUUAACGAACUAAGUUACCCUAGGGAUAACAGCACAAUCCGCUUCGAGAGCCCCUAUUGACAAGCGGGCUUAUGACCUCGAUGUUGGAUCGGGAUAUCCUAGUGGUGCAGCCGCUACAAAGGUU
This 441-nucleotide ribosomal RNA is filed under the name Pristimantis altamazonicus (Amazon robber frog). RNAcentral's name for it is "partial 16S ribosomal RNA". It matches the Rfam family "Bacterial large subunit ribosomal RNA", at positions 1849 to 2573 of the family's 2925-position model. Lineage: Eukaryota; Metazoa; Chordata; Amphibia; Anura; Strabomantidae. The record is from RNAcentral.